AGUGAACGCUGGCGGUAGGCCUAACACAUGCAAGUCGAACGGCAGCACAGUAAGAGCUUGCUCUUACGGGUGGCGAGUGGCGGACGGGUGAGGAAUACAUCGGAAUCUACUUUUUCGUGGGGGAUAACGUAGGGAAACUUACGCUAAUACCGCAUACGGCCUACGGGUGAAAGCAGGGGAUCUUCGGACCUUGCGCGAUUGAAUGAGCCGAUGUCGGAUUAGCUAGUUGGCGGGGUAAAGGCCCACCAAGGCGACGAUCCGUAGCUGGUCUGAGAGGAUGAUCAGCCACACUGGAACUGAGACACGGUCCAGACUCCUACGGGAGGCAGCAGUGGGGAAUAUUGGACAAUGGGCGCAAGCCUGAUCCAGCCAUACCGCGUGGGUGAAGAAGGCCUUCGGGUUGUAAAGCCUUUUUGUUGGGAAAGAAAAGCAGCAGGUUAAUACCCCGCUGUUCUGACGGUACCCAAAGAAUAAGCACCGGCUAACUUCGUG
Molecule: ribosomal RNA, 492 nt
Filed under: uncultured bacterium
Lineage: Bacteria
Description: partial 16S ribosomal RNA
Rfam family: Bacterial small subunit ribosomal RNA
Source: RNAcentral